AGAUUUUGUUACAUUUAGCUUGUUUCCCAGAGGGCAAUGCCGGCUAGCUGUCGACCCCAGGGCUGGGUAGUUCCCCUUGCCCGCCAAAUGUAGACAAAAAAAGGAGACAUACUACUUCUCGGGACAUCAAAACUAACAACAACCUAACAACAACAAAGAAAAUCAUAAACAGACGGCUAUCAAGUGGGUGAAGCUUGGGUGUUAUCACUUCGCGCGCCCGCCCUACCUGUGACCAAACACAACGUUCAUUUUGGCCACCCUCUGCUGGAACGGGAUACCCUCACCCAUUCGUACUGGACUAUGUGUAGAUGAGUGGGGACUGGAUCCGUCUUACGGGAGUUAAUUCAACUCGGGCCCCUACGGAGACCUGACCUACCAAGAGCUCUUGUUAAGGGUCCCCGGGACAUAAACAAUAUUUUCCACAAUUCACUCGACCAAAUACGGUGGACUGAUGGGACCCCCGCGUCACCCGCUAAGGGUUAAUCUUCUGGCGUUGACCAGCUGAUCGCAGAUUUACGUUUGUGAAAGGUGUUGGUGUUUUUACAUACAUAUUUUUUUUCACUGGCCAAGAUUUUACGUUAAACGUUUUGAGCUUAUACUAAAUACAGAAUAAAGGACAACACACGGAACAAAAUAACAUUUACAGUGGAACGGUGUUUGGAGUGCGGAUUAUUUGUUUUUCUUUAAGUUCAAUAACGUGGGCUCGCUGAUCGCUGGCCGUGGCCGGUCAGCCCUAAAUUUAUCUAGUAACGGCUCCAGCUCCCCCCGAUGUCCCCAUCGACCAUCGAGCCUCCCUGGACUUCCGCUAGAUGGCGCGUCGCCCUCAGCCCUGGCCACC
This is a long non-coding RNA of Drosophila pseudoobscura, 838 nucleotides long. RefSeq lists it as uncharacterized. The transcript has 3 exons. The record is from RefSeq and is a predicted model, not a curated record. Lineage: Eukaryota; Metazoa; Arthropoda; Insecta; Diptera; Drosophilidae.